CGGGUGAGUAACACGUAUCCAACCUGCCGUCUACUCUUGGACAGCCUUCUGAAAGGAAGAUUAAUACAAGAUGGCAUCAUGAGUCCGCAUGUUCACAUGAUUAAAGGUAUUCCGGUAGACGAUGGGGAUGCGUUCCAUUAGAUAGUAGGCGGGGUAACGGCCCACCUAGUCUUCGAUGGAUAGGGGUUCUGAGAGGAAGGUCCCCCACAUUGGAACUGAGACACGGUCCAAACUCCUACGGGAGGCAGCAGUGAGGAAUAUUGGUCAAUGGGCGAGAGCCUGAACCAGCCAAGUAGCGUGAAGGAUGACUGCCCUAUGGGUUGUAAACUUCUUUUAUAAAGGAAUAAAGUCGGGUAUGGAUACCCGUUUGCAUGUACUUUAUGAAUAAGGAUCGGCUAACUCCGUGCCAGCAGCCGCGGUAAUACGGAGGAUCCGAGCGUUAUCCGGAUUUAUUGGGUUUAAAGGGAGCGUAGAUGGAUGUUUAAGUCAGUUGUGAAAGUUUGCGGCUCAACCGUAAAAUUGCAGUUGAUACUGGAUAUCUUGAGUGCAGUUGAGGCAGGCGGAAUUCGUGGUGUAGCGGUGAAAUGCUUAGAUAUCACGAAGAACUCCGAUUGCGAAGGCAGCCUGCUAAGCUGCAA
RNAcentral lists this ribosomal RNA (638 nucleotides) under uncultured bacterium. RNAcentral describes it as "bacterial SSU rRNA". It matches the Rfam family "Bacterial small subunit ribosomal RNA", at positions 103 to 739 of the family's 1533-position model. The record is from RNAcentral.